This 1062-nucleotide ribosomal RNA is filed under the name uncultured Williamsia sp. RNAcentral describes it as "partial 16S ribosomal RNA". It matches the Rfam family "Bacterial small subunit ribosomal RNA", at positions 54 to 1164 of the family's 1533-position model. The record is from RNAcentral. Lineage: Bacteria; Bacillati; Actinomycetota; Actinomycetes; Mycobacteriales; Nocardiaceae.
CAUGCAGUCGAACGGAAAGGCCCUUCGGGGUACUCGAGUGGCGAACGGGUGAGUAACACGUGGGUGAUCUGCCUCGUACUCUGGGAUAAGCCUGGGAAACUGGGUCUAAUACCGGAUAGGACCUKCUCUCGCAUGGGGGUUGGUGGAAAGUUUUUCGGUACGAGAUGGGCCCGCGGCCUAUCAGCUUGUUGGUGGGGUAAUGGCCUACCAAGGCGACGACGGGUAGCCGGCCUGAGAGGGCGACCGGCCACACUGGGACUGAGACACGGCCCASACUCCUACGGGAGGCAGCAGUGGGGAAUAUUGCACAAUGGGCGCAAGCCUGAUGCAGCGACGCCGCGUGAGGGAUGACGGCCUUCGGGUUGUAAACCUCUUUCACCAGGGGCGAAUUAGGACGGUACCUGGAGAAGAAGCACCGGCCAACUACGUGCCAGCAGCCGCGGUAAUACGUAGGGUGCGAGCGUUGUCCGGAAUUACUGGGCGUAAAGAGCUCGUAGGCGGUUUGUCGCGUCGUUCGUGAAAACUUGAUGCUUAACAUCAAGCGUGCGGGCGAUACGGGCAGACUUGAGUACUACAGGGGAGACUGGAAUUCCUGGUGUAGCGGUGAAAUGCGCAGAUAUCAGGAGGAACACCGGUGGCGAAGGCGGGUCUCUGGGUAGUAACUGACGCUGAGGAGCGAAAGCGUGGGUAGCGAACARGAUUAGAUACCCUGGUAGUCCACGCCGUAAACGGUGGGUACUAGGUGUGGGUUCCUUUCACGGGAUCCGUGCCGUAGCUAACGCAUUAAGUACCCCGCCUGGGGAGUACGGCCGCAAGGCUAAAACUCAAGGAAUUGACGGGGGCCCGCACAAGCGGCGGAGCAUGUGGAUUAWUUCGAUGCACGCGARAACCYUAYCUGGGUUUGACAUACACCAGACGCUGGUAGAGAUAUCAGUUCCCUUGKKGUUGGRGUAMAGKGGUGCAUGGCUGUCRUCRCUCGUGUCUGAGWGUUGGUUAAGUCCCAMGARCGCAYCCUUGUCUGUAUGCAGCGGUUWGCGGKACUGCAGAAAYKCCGGGUYACUC